RNAcentral lists this ribosomal RNA (497 nucleotides) under uncultured bacterium. RNAcentral's name for it is "partial 16S ribosomal RNA". It matches the Rfam family "Bacterial small subunit ribosomal RNA", at positions 28 to 507 of the family's 1533-position model. The record is from RNAcentral.
GAUGAACGCUGGCGGCGUGCCUAAUACAUGCAAGUCGAGCGAACAGACGAGGAGCUUUCUCCUCUGACGUUAGCGGCGGACGGGUUAGUAACACGUGGAUAACCUACCUAUAAGACUGGGAUCACUUCGUGAAACCGGAGCUAAUACCGGAUAAUAUAUUGAACCGCAUGGUUCAAUAGUGAAAGACGGUUUUGCUGUCACUUAUAGAUGGAUCCGCGCCGCAUUAGCUAGUUGGUAAGGUAACGGCUUACCAAGGCAACGAUGCGUAGCCGACCUGAGAGGAUGAUCGGCCACACUGGAACUGAGACACGGUCCAGACUCCUACGGGAGGCAGCAGUAGGGAAUCUUCCGCAAUGGGCGAAAGCCUGACGGAGCAACGCCGCGUGAGUGAUGAAGGUCUUCGGAUCGUAAAACUCUGUUAUUAGGGAAGAACAAAUGUGUAAGUAACUAUGCACGUCUUGACGGUACCUAAUCAGAAAGCCACGGCUAACUACGUG